CAGGCUCCAGUGGUGCAAUCGGUCAGCGUGCAGUACUUAUAAGAUAGUAACCUGCAAAGCAAUGCUGAGGUUGUGAGUUCAAACCUCACCUGGAGCAGAUGUUUU
This is a microRNA precursor of Poecilia formosa (Amazon molly), 105 nucleotides long. NCBI's taxonomy places the organism in Eukaryota, Metazoa, Chordata, Actinopteri, Cyprinodontiformes, Poeciliidae. The record is from Ensembl.